RNAcentral lists this long non-coding RNA (228 nucleotides) under Bos taurus (domestic cattle). RNAcentral's name for it is "long non-coding RNA NONBTAT012153". Lineage: Eukaryota; Metazoa; Chordata; Mammalia; Artiodactyla; Bovidae. The record is from RNAcentral.
AAUGUACUGGUUCUGACUGAAAGUUUUCUUCAAGGCAUUUGAGACCAGAUAGGCAGAAUGUCUUUUUAAAAAUUCCAGCUACUUUGAUAUGAACAUGCAAAUUUCUUAAACCAUAUUUUUAUAUAAAAGUUUAACGAAGGUGUUUUUAGAUCCAUGAGGCUCCUUGCAGUAAAAUUGAACUGUCUAUGUGUUCAUAGGUAUAUUUCUAUGAUUAAAGAUUUGAUGGAC